AUAAUACCCUAUAGGUUACAGAUGCUGGAAUGCUCUGUAACUCAAAGUUCCGGCGCCUUAGGAUGGAUCUGCGGCCGAUUAGGUUGUUGUUGGGGUAACGGCCCAACAAGCCUGUAAUCGAUACGGGUUGUGGGAGCAAGAGCCCGGAGAUGGAAUCUGAGACACGAUUCCAGGCCCUACGGGGCGCAGCAGGCGCGAAAACUUUACAAUGCAGGAAACUGUGAUAAGGGAACUCCGAGUGCCCGUAUACGCGGGCUGUCCAGGUGUUUAAAAAUCAUCUGAAGAAAGGGCCGGGCAAGACCGGUGCCAGCCGCCGCGGUAAUACCGGCGGCUCGAGUGGUGGCCACUAUUAUUGGGCUUAAAGCGUCCGUAGCUGGACCGAUAAGUCUCUUGGGAAAUCCGCCGGCUCAACCGGCGGGCGUCUAAGGGAUACUGUUAGUCUAGGGACCGGGAGAGGUGAGAGGUACUCCGGGGGUAGGAGUGAAAUCCUGUAAUCCCCGGGGGACCACCGAUGGCGAAGGCAUCUCACCAGAACGGCUCCGACAGUGAGGGACGAAAGCUGGGGGAGCGAACCGGAUUAGAUACCCGGGUAGUCCCAGCCGUAAACUAUGCGCGUUAGGUGC
RNAcentral lists this ribosomal RNA (623 nucleotides) under uncultured archaeon. RNAcentral's name for it is "bacterial SSU rRNA". It matches the Rfam family "Archaeal small subunit ribosomal RNA", at positions 146 to 774 of the family's 1478-position model. The record is from RNAcentral.